RNAcentral lists this ribosomal RNA (301 nucleotides) under uncultured bacterium. RNAcentral describes it as "partial 16S ribosomal RNA". It matches the Rfam family "Bacterial small subunit ribosomal RNA", at positions 509 to 807 of the family's 1533-position model. The record is from RNAcentral.
CAGCCGCCGCGGUAAGACAGAGGAUGCAAGCGUUAUCCGGAAUGAUUGGGCGUAAAGCGUCUGUAGGUGGCUUUUCAAGUCCGCCGUCAAAUCCCAGGGCUCAACCCUGGACAGGCGGUGGAAACUACCAAGCUAGAGUACGGUAGGGGCAGAGGGAAUUUCCGGUGGAGCGGUGAAAUGCGUUGAGAUCGAAAAGGACACCAACGACGAAAGCACUCUGCUGGGUCGACACUGACACUGAGAGACGAAAGCUAGGGGAGCAAAUGGGAUUAGAUACCCCAGUAGUCCCUGUCUCUUAUAC